GCCGACCCAGGCAAGGGAGCGGGAGUGGAUGACGAUGACCGGUUGGCAGACAAAACUCAAAGCCCCUUUGGAGGAGGAGACAAGCCUGGAACUGAGUCCUGCUGCCAUGUCCCAGCCCCAGGCAGAGGCCCUGCCCCUAGCUGUUCCUUAGCCCUGGAGCAAAGAGCAUCCACUGGCUCAGCAGCACGAAGGAAGCCAUUGGAAACCAACCGACCUGUCUGGACCCUCCACCCCAGGCCACCCUGGCCCUGCACUCUGCCCCCAGGGAGGGAGAAGAAGCCUCCGGCAUAAGGAGACCAGAAACUGGCUGAGGUCCCAGGUUGAAGUUGCCUUGAAGUUUGACUACUAAAGAAGAAAAAAGGUUUUCCUCUAUUUUGUUAACGCAAUCCAGAGUUUGAGCUGGGAUCAUAAAGAUUUCAAACAUCCUGGACAGGACUUCCUCAACUGGAUUGUUUUGGUAAAUACAAGUAUGAAACUGGAGGACACCAAUACAGGAGGAAAAGUCCCAGCUCUGGGCUGAGGUGAGCCAAGUGGUGGGUACCCCUAAGUGGCCCAAAUUUUAGGGGGUCCAGAAACCAAACCUCCCCCAGAUGUGGGGAGUGGCAUUAAACUGCUCACAUCUAUGUCUUGCCAAAUAAUAUAAAAUCAUAGCUAUCCUUUUCUCCCUUCAGAAAAGAAAGGAAAAAGGAUCAAGAAAAAACCCAUCUUUUUUGAAUUAAGGGAAUUUAACUUUGUGAAAAAGUAGCUAGAUUGUCCUCUGUUUUUCCCAUUUGGCUGCAUCUGGGUAAAAAUCCCCAUCACUUACCAGCUUUUGCAAAUCACCAGGCAGGCCCAAGGCUCAGGGGCUGGAUGCUAGAGCACGGGGCAGGGGCUGGGUAUUUCCCUGUGCCAAGGGGAGCAGACUCACAGCCCGGAUUUGUUAGCUACCGGAUCCUGCAGAAGGCCCCGGUGCCUCAGCUUCCCCAUCUGUGAAAUGGUAGUGGUCGCCGUGCACACCUGGUGGAGCAUGGAGACCUUGGGCCUGGCACACAGCACACACUCAUUCAG
RNAcentral lists this long non-coding RNA (1047 nucleotides) under Bos indicus x Bos taurus (hybrid cattle). Its description in RNAcentral is "lncRNA (ENSBIXG00005013919.1)". The record is from RNAcentral. Lineage: Eukaryota; Metazoa; Chordata; Mammalia; Artiodactyla; Bovidae.